RNAcentral lists this long non-coding RNA (6800 nucleotides) under Nicotiana tabacum (common tobacco). RNAcentral describes it as "long non-coding RNA (NTAB_LNC000283)". The record is from RNAcentral. Lineage: Eukaryota; Viridiplantae; Streptophyta; Magnoliopsida; Solanales; Solanaceae.
AUCACAUAACUUUACAUCUAGUCUCUUUAUAUAUUUUUCUAUUAUAUAAAAGAGCAACAGUUUCGACAUGUCUGUUUUGUGGUAUUAAAAUUCAAAUUGAGGGUAUUAUAGCCAUUUCAAUCUACAAAUUAAUACAGUUGUCUAUGUGUCUCUUACUCUUACAUUCACCGCAUAUUGUUCUCAUUCUUAUUAUCGCCUUUACUCCUCCUUUCUCUUCGGUAUUCCUUGCUGAUUUUCUGAUUUAUCGUGGACUUCACUCUCUAUCUUAUUUUGUGCUUAAUCUAAGUUUCAUUUUACUUUGUGGUUUUCACAUUUUCUACUUUCUCUCUCAAAUCUCUUGAACUUGCAGGUAAAUUUUAUUUGUCUUUAAUAUCAAUUUUGUUGUUUUCUAUCUGUUGUUUCUCCUUUUUUGUUCCAAUUUAUUUCAACCCACACAAUACUAAACAAUGGAGGUUUACCUCAAAUUCAUGAAAAUAAACUGAAUUAAAGACAAAUUUUGUCUAUAUUCAAGAAGAUCCAGAAAUUUUCGAGUUAGGGUUUUGAUGGAUGAUAUUGGGGGAACGUUUUUUUUUUGCGGAGAUGAAUUGAAGUCAAGAGCUCAGCUUUGAGUAUUCAAUCUCUUUCAAAACUUGUAUUGCAAAUGUUUGUCUUCUUCUUGCUCUCAAGUCUAGCUGCAGCUAUUUUUUUCUCCUUUUUCUUAGUUCUUCCUUCCCUUUGGGUCAUUAUUGUUAGUUUUGAAAUUUAAUGGUUCCUGAUAUCUUCUCCUCUCAUUUUUUCAUCUUUUUUUCCCUUUGUAUUCUUCGACUAAUUCUGAAGUUUAGUGGUUAUGGCAGGUUUAAAUUGGCCAAUUAAAAUUUUCCUUUCUGCUUUUCGGGUUAUGGCGUGUCCAGAUUGGAGAAAUUUGAGUUCGAUAUUAAAGUUACCCGAUAAUUUUUCUUCAUUUCAUAUUUUUGGGUGGUAAAAUUGUGAUAAAUAUGAAUCGACUCUUUGUGCCUCUUUUGGUGCCGGCCAUGAGCCAAACAAAUAUGAAUGAUCUCGAAAGAGCACAAAUCGUAGUGUGCGAUUUUCUUCCCUGAAUGACAUAAAAAAAUAACACUUAUCAUAGACAAAUAGCAGAAACAUAAAAAAUUUACCUUGACACUUAAGUGAAUGGGAAAUUAGUUCAACUCUAGAUAGACAAUAGAUAGUUGCAUUUACUCUAGAUGGACAAUAGAUAGUUGCAUUUGAUCAAGGGAAACAUGUCGAAAGACACACUACCUCGAGCACAUAGAUUCAAGAUGUCGCACAUGUUUAGGAGAUGACUGUUGUUAAUAUGUUUAGCUUCUCUUCUCCUCUUUCUUUCCCUAUUUUUGUUUGGCUAAAAGGUGUUAUCACUCUGCCACUGAAGUAGUAAAAGCACUAAUAUCCGCAUUGCUACUUUUACAGAGUACUAUUGUAUUUUUCAAAGGAGUGGUAUAAGGCAGUAGAUUAUGAGAGAUAUUGCCUAACAUGAUCAAUAACCCAAUAAAAGGGGGAAAAGGAAGAGGUCAGUAUUGGCGAGUAUGGACUCCCAUGGCCUCAAUGGUAAACUAAUCUUUAGUUGUGUGUUCAACGAUUCCAGUUGUUCCAAUAUACCAAUAUCAGGCCUUUUGAGUUUGGCAUCACCAUUUGAUUUUCAUAUAAGGUGAAGUUAGGGAAAAUAAAAGCUGCAACGUUGUAUCGAGAAGUAAAGAAGUCGUUAAAAUUGGUGAUAAGACUUUUAUAGUCACGUGUAGUAGAAUUAACGUUUGAAUUUGGAUGAUUUUCAAAUAUUCAUACAUUCAGCUUAGUAGAUGGGCUUGUAGUAGGGGCAAUGAGGUUGAUGGAAGCUGAGGUGAGCAAGAUAAGAGUACAUCACUUGAUGCCAUUAGUAAAUUCCUGAAAUUUUAUAUUCACCGGGAGAGUGAAAUAAAAGGUUUGCUUAUUUUUUCAUCUUCACAUGAUCAAUGACUUAGAGAGUGUUUGGCUAAGCUUAUAAGCUGGUCAUACUGGCUUAUAAGCAAUUUUUGGCUUAUCUACUUGUUUGAUAAAAUUAAAAGUGCUUAUAAGUUAAGUGUUUAUAAGCCAAAAAUAAGCCAAAAGCCAUAAGCUGGUCUCUCCCAACUUAUCAAAUUUCAGCUUAUAAGCACUUUAGGUUUGACCAAGAUAUUUACUAUUCUAUCCCUAAAAUACUUUUUUUAAAACAAAAAUCUUCAUAUAUCCAGUUCUUCAGCUGCUUAUUAUUAAUUUCAGCACUUUUAUCCAAACACAUAACUGCUUAUUUUCCAAAUCAGCUUCAGCACUUAAAAGUACUUUUCAGCACCUAAUGCUUAUCAGCUACUCUAAAUCAGCUAAGCCAAACGGGCUCUUAAUUCAUCCCGUCUACUACCUGGAGUUCAACAUUGACGUUUUCAAUAUUGCCAUAGGUACUAACAAUCAAUUGUAGUUGGAGCUUUUGUUGCCGGACUACUUAAAAUCUGCUAUAUCUUUUUAUGUCAUAUGUUUUAUUGCAGAAUAUUAGAAAAUGGAAGUGUUAGCUUCCUUUUCUAUUUUUCCUUUUUGAUGAGUAAACCGACAGCUCUUUAUAGCUCGAAUUCGAUAGUCGUGGUUGAUAAAGGCUGCUUCUACAUGUUCUGAAAAUGAACUGUUUGCUACAUAUUUUCGUUGAAGGAGUUCUGGUCUAUGUUCUGCAUAUAACAUGCUGCACGAGAAAGCAUUAGAUUGUACGCUAUCCAUUCAUAUGCAAAAUCGGCAGAGAAAAAAAUUGUGCAGGAGGGCCUCAGAUGGUGUAAUUAUUUAUAAACUUUUUAAAUUGAUCUCUUCACAAAACUUAAUGUGAGCUUUUGAGCUGUCUAUUAUUCAUUUUUAUCUUUCAUGUUUAGUUUACCAAAAAUGUACCGUUUUUCUUAAUGUAAAGAUAGUUCAGUCAUAUGCACAAGAUGUGCAUCACUAAAAGAAAGCUUAUGAACUUGACUGAUCACUUGGAAAAUAAAGUUCAUAUGAUUGGCAAUAAACAAUAUAGGUAAGGGUACUGUGUGCUUGAGGAGGGAGUGUAUCAAACUCAGUUAGGUCCUAGGAUGAUUUGAUUUCAUUUGAUUUUGUCUCAUUGUCUUAAGAUAAGCUUCUCAAUUUAGACCAACAAUUUAAGGAACCAUCUAUGUAUUUUCUCUAACUGGUUAUCGAAACAAAAAGUAAGUAGAUGAUGGUAGGUUCAUGGUUAUGUGUAAUAUAUAUUGAUUGCAUGAAAUUGCACAAUUGUAUCAUUAUAUUUCUUGCUCAAGUGCACUGGAACUUUAGAAAUUCAUUUUGAAUCAAGAAAGUGGCAGAGAAGAUCUGAUAUUCUAUUGCAUUUUCAUAUCUUAUUUUUCGAAGAUUAGUUGGCUCCUACAUUAUUUUUGUGUGAACUUUCCAAUUUGAGUGUUUAUUUCUGGUAGAAGUAUUUUUCUUCUUCUUUUAUGUACAUAAGUUCAACUCUUUGAGAAAGUGAUAUCGAAAACAAACAAAAAGAAAGCAAAUUUGUUUGUUGCCUAAGCAGAAUUGUCUUCAUUCAAAUAAGGUAAUUUGAUAAAUAAUGUCCACGACUCUCAAGCUUUUUCGCCAAUGCUUAAAAGCUAACUGAUCAUGUUGUCUCUAAUUCCUAUUGUUCUUACUGGUAGUAUAGCAAGGAAUACGGGUUUCGAAAAUCUGGGAUGCUGACAAAAAAAUUUCAUUAACUGAAAUUUACAUUUGUACGAAAAUUUGUUGAACUCCAGUUCAAAAUUGCACGUGGAACUUAUAUUUUGACCUCCUUUUGCCUUUUGAAUCUUCAUCUCUUUCUUUAUUAGUGAAGAGUCUAAAGACCAAAAUUGUUGUGCCUGUAACAGUUUAUCUUCUUUGUUAUUGCAGUUCUUGCGAUCCGCUGUGGUUGUUUUCUACUUCUGUUAUUCAGUAGCACUCGAACCAGAAGGCAAAUUUUCUAAUCUCUUGUCAUUUAUUUUUAGGUAUUGUAUGUUUUUGCUUGAGUUCUUUUAAAAAAUUAUAAUAAACAUACAUAGAUAUUAGUCACUGUUGAAAGUAUAUUCAGUAAUGUAAAUACGUACAAAUUGCAUGGACAUCUUUUUGCUUUUGAUUUUUUACUUUGUUUUCCUGUAUCUCUGUUUGAUCAAAAUAAACUUUUAUUAUUUUUUGUGCGUCCGAUCAGCUACACUUACUUGGAGAUUUGUGUUUGUUCCAGUGGUUCUAAUCGACGAGUCAUACUGAUCAUUUAUUAUUGUCUUUCUCAAUAUGCUUUCAGGUACUCUUCGCUCUUUCUUUCCCCUUCGUAUAUAAUUUUUACUAUCUAUAUUUUGUUUGUUUGUGGUCGAGCUUCUGCUGAAUUCUAAGUUGGCAUUUAAGGUUCCUAAGAAACAUUUCAGGUUCGUAAGAACGGAACCUCAUCGUUUUAGGUUUUUGGCUUGAAUUAUUGUUUUCGGUUAUGAGUGAGUGUUCUAGCUUCAGAGACUCAUUAAAUGCUACGUCGAAUGAAUCUUAUACGAUUAUAUGAUUAGAAAAUAAAUAUGUUUCUCGACUUACGUGUUUUGUAUUCGUAUAUAUUUUAUGGCAUCGAAAUAAAGUUUAUUUUUCCAUUUUUUUUAUUUGACUAAGUUUAAAAUUUUCAGUGUCCUAAAUGAAAAACAUAUGAUAGUUAAUCAUGACGUUUUCAACAGACUGAAGCAGGGUGACCAAGUGCUUAAUUUUCUUGCUGAUGUUUCUAAAGCUCUUAUUAGAGAAGUAUCUUUAAAAUCUUACUAUCUUAAUGAUUUAUUUAUUUUUACAAUCUUUUGGUAUUAGAUUGCAAUUGAGAGUAAAAAACAGUGAGCCUAAGGACCAACUCGAUUUUGAUUAAAGAAGGAGAAUACUUCCAUUGGCAACUACCAAUAUGGCUGAAAAUCUGGACUCUUGAUGUGGAGGUUUUUAAUUAUUAAAUAAUACCUCAAACUUCAUAUAGGUUCUGCAGGUUUCUUCUCUUCCCAUUGAAUGGCUUUAAUGAUCUAUCUUUGCGUCAAUGAUUAACUUUGUGAGCAUAUUUGUUAGAUGUUGUUCUGGCAUCUUAUUGUACAACAGAAAACAUUUAAAGGAUGUGGAGUAUGUGCAUUAGAUCCUGCUACAUGAUUCAGAUUGCUUUCACUCAUAUGGUGUCUGGGCAAAGGAUUUGAGAAGUUGUCCAGUACCGAAAGUUUUGUCGCUGACAGAGUUGAAACAAGAUAUCUCAGCUCGGUAAAAUCUCAUGUACUCAUUAAAAUCCAUAUUCAGCGCCAUCGUAUUUUUUCUCCUAUAUGCUCAGUAAAUUUGUUUUCCUCUUUUAACUUCGCAAUACAACUUAACUUAGUAAAAUGUCAUGCAUCUGAACUUAGAUUUGAAUAGUUGAAUAGUUGGACAAGUAACUUGCCUGAUGAAAAUACCAAUUUCUACCUUUAAUUUGCUUGUGCAGGGUGUUGCUUCCAUCGAAAUAUACCAGGUAAUACCUAGAGUCUAAUAGCCUCCUUGACCAAACUUUUAAAAUUAGCUUAUGAGUAUUCUUGAUGAAGCAGUUUGUGUUCUAUAAAUCAACUUGAGAUCGCAUUUUUAACUUUUCAAAAUUAAGUUCUGCAUCUACUCAAAAGUACAUUUUUCCUUCUAAAAGUUUGACCAAAUAUCUUAACUUUAUGGAAAAGUAUUUUUAGCGAAAAAAACACUUUUGGCCAAAAAAAGGUUGACCUAUUAGGCUAUAAGCUCACUUCGAGCAUAAAAGAAUGAUUUUGUUUCUUCUUCUUCCGCCACAUGUUUUUCCAGAACUCUUGUACAUAAAAGAUGAAAAUUUAGCGAGCAUCUUAAAUGAAAUUUCGUGUCCUAUAAUUGGUGCAACUGCUACAAUAAUGAUAGAGUACUGGAGAAGAAGUAUGCAGAUUAAUAAAGAUGAAAGCAAAUCCAUGUCAAAUAGUCAAUAUUCAAUUCUACGCUUGCUCCAUAAAGACCUUUUAUUUUUACCCGAAAAAUGAAAAUGAAGAGAUAAACCAUGACUAGAGAGUUCCUUGCAUCAUUAUGCCUAUGUGCCGGCUACUCUCGAAUUCCUUCAUGGCUGGAUACAGUUAUUGGGGUUUGCAUACAGCUACCUCUUGUUUUUGUCUUGAUAUAAUUUUGUUAUAUAGCGGACGGAGGUUUCUAAUUUUAAUGUAUUUAUUACAUGUCGUUCAGCUAUGUGUGGUGUAUUCGCGUGUACUCGCAUCUCUUUUUACUGACUAAAUUUGAGCUUAUGGUAUAAUGAAGCACAAACAAAGAUGUAUGACAGGCCAUGUUUAGAAAAGUAUGUCAAUUACCACCAACUAAUUUGGUUCUCUUGCUUUUCUUCCUCUUCUCAACUUUCUCUUUGAAAGAAUGAGAUAGGCUACACUAACAAAUAAUCCCUACAGGUACCAAUAUUUUUGACAGAAGCAGGCAAGAAAGGAGCCUAACCAAAGCGUGAUAGCUGCACUAUAUUGCGUAUGCAUAGUAUAUAUUUGAACGUAUUUCUCCCAUAGAUGAAAGGAAUAUGCCAUUUGGCAACCACACAACAUUCAAGAAUGGAUAUUUUGUCAUCCAUAUUCAUAAAUAAUAUCCUACAGUUGGUAUAUAAUAUCGUUAAAGUCAAUUGAUAGUUCUUUACAUGUAUUGAUUUUUUAUUGUCUGCGAUUUCAUAUCAAAAUGAAGUUACAUCUUCUAUAUUAUUGGGCCCGUGUCUAUUACAUUAGACAUGGUAAAUUUUACACGAACACUAUCACCUAGGGAAAUGUGAUAAGCUUUUCUCAACAACAAAAAAAAAUUGUAUU